Molecule: ribosomal RNA, 649 nt
Filed under: uncultured Pseudomonadota bacterium
Lineage: Bacteria; Pseudomonadati; Pseudomonadota
Description: bacterial SSU rRNA
Rfam family: Bacterial small subunit ribosomal RNA
Source: RNAcentral
AGUGGCGAACGGGUGAGUAACGCGUGAGGAACCUGCCUCAAAGAGGGGGACAACAGUUGGAAACGACUGCUAAUACCGCAUAAGCCCACGGGUCGGCAUCGACCAGAGGGAAAAGGAGUAAUCCGCUUUGAGAUGGCCUCGCGUCCGAUUAGCUAGUUGGUGAGGUAAUGGCUCACCAAGGCUGCGAUCCGUAACUGGUCUGAGAGGAUGAUCAGUCACAUCGGAACUGAGACACGGUCCGAACUCCUACGGGAGGCAGCAGUGGGGAAUAUUGGACAAUGGGCGAAAGCCUGAUCUAGCAAUACCGCGUGUGUGAAGAAGGCCUUCGGGUUGUAAAGCACUUUAGGUCGGAAAGAAAAAACUUGAGUUAAUACCUUAAGUCUUGACGGUACCGACAGAAUAAGCACCGGCUAACUCUGUGCCAGCAGCCGCGGUAAUACAGAGGGUGCAAGCGUUAAUCGGAUUUACUGGGCGUAAAGCGUGCGUAGGUGGCUGUCUAAGUCGGAUGUGAAAGCCCUGGGCUUAACCUGGGAACUGCAUUCGAUACUGGAUAGCUAGAGAUCGGUAGAGGGCAGCGGAAUUCCGGGUGUAGCGGUGAAAUGCGUAGAUAUCCGGAGGAACACCGAUGGCGAAGGCAACUGCCUGGGCC